RNAcentral lists this ribosomal RNA (293 nucleotides) under uncultured bacterium. RNAcentral's name for it is "partial 16S ribosomal RNA". It matches the Rfam family "Archaeal small subunit ribosomal RNA", at positions 455 to 747 of the family's 1478-position model. The record is from RNAcentral.
GUGCCAGCAGCCGCGGUAAUACCGGCAGCCCGAGUGAUGGCCGAUCUUAUUGGGCCUAAAGCGUCAGUAGCUGGCUGCGCAAGUCCGUCGGGAAAUCCACUCGCCCAACGAGUGGGCGUCCGACGGAAACUGCACAGCUUGGGACCGGAAGGCUCGAAGGGUACGCUCGGGGUAGGAGUGAAAUCCCAAAAUCCCGCACGGACCACCGAUGGCGAAAGCACUUCGAGAAAACGGUUCCGACAGUGGGGGACGAAAGCCAGGGUCUCCACCCGGAUUAGAAACCCUAGUAGUCC